GCCGGUAUUCGGUUUCGAAACGCUAUGCAAAAGUUGCGUAAAUUGCUCGGUUCGGAAUACCUGUGACGUGCUUUCCAAAAUUAUUGAGGAUAUAUAUAUAAGGAUUCGAUUCUCGAUUAUUUUUUUAUUUUAAUUCGAAUAUUAAAAAAACUACAGUAAUUAAUUUAUACACAUGUACUAUAUUUUUGAGAUAAAAGUUAAAAAAAAAAUCGUUGUAAUAAUUCAUCUUCCUCACAACGCGGAAAAUUAUUCCACGUGAAAACAAAAAUUUCAUCGUUAUUUGAAAUCUUGUGGAUUAUUAAAAAAAUAUUAAAAUUCUAUCUUUCCGAUUAAUCUUGCCAAAAUGAAAAAAAAAGAAAAAAAAUGUUACAAUGUUGAAAAAAAAAACAUUCCUUUAAAAACGUCAAAGCAAAUCCCCCCGUUUCCCAACGAAUUUCCCCUAAAUUAUCCCCACCCAAUGAAAAACUACCGUGUGUUAAACAACGAGGUGUGAAAAAUCGGCGGUGGAAUAUUCUCUCCACAUGGCGAAGACAGAGACGAAAUUCUCGUGCAGCCGCGAGAGAAUGAAAUUACAUACGCCUGUUAAUGAAAUCUCGCCAAUGUAACACGUUCAAACGCGUGGGGAAAGAAAAGAAAUUUUCGCUCGUGUAACAUGGCUUCUAAUGACGAUUUUAAUCAGCGCAAGGUGGGUAAGCCUCGCGAGAUCUACGGCAGAGGGCAGACUUAAAAGAGUUAAGAAGAUGGCCGUUAACCGUCCUUUUGCCAAGUUUUAUGGUCGAGCUCGUGCUAAUGCGCUACACUUUGUCGUACGUCGUGCUACGUUGCCCAUUAAUGGAAUCUUGGAUUAAGAAAGGGGAGAGGGAGAAGUGUAAAUAUUGCUAACUGGCAGCGGUGAUAAGUGGCCGAAAGAAUUUCUCGUUCGGUUAAGCGGCUAUAAGAAGAAGAGGUUAUGUCGGCGGAACAAAUAUGGAGACGUCUCGUCGCGCUUCGACGAGUUUCGAAAAAGAGCGGAUGAGCAGAUUCAGAAAUGCGCGGUUAAAAUCACUAUCCAUGAAAACCGAACGCUGGCUAAAUGAUCAUGAAAAGAAGUAGGAUGAGGGUAAGUAGGGUCGCAGCCAUUCUGUCGCCGCUUCCGUGAUGCAUCGCUGCUGGAUGCUCUGCAACAAACGGAAAUUUACGAUGUGAUGUAAAAAAACACUAUUUUUCCUUCCCGUUGCAUUGUAACGAAUUACACCGAUAAGAUAACGCUAGUAACGAGACUGUCGAGAGAAGAGAUCAGAAUGAAUCUCGUUUCUUGACGUUUUUUUUUCUUAUAUUAUAUUCGAGGAUAAGGAAAUAUAGGUUAAAUUAGAGAUCGAAGUGACAAUCAUUCUAUUUUAUAUAUAUUUUUUUCAUAUGCUCAAUGAACAGAGAAAUCGAUAUAAAUCAUUGUUCCCCGAAACGAAAAUUAUCGAAACAGUUUCUUAAAUCGAAAAAAAAAUAACGUGAAUUCUGAGAGAAACAAAUCCAAUUUUGACUGGUUAAACUGGUAGAAGAAAUCGUUUUAAAAAGUUGUAAACAAUCGUUCGAUAUCGACAUGUUUCGUUAUGUUUCAAGCAAUUAAACUUAAUUUGUACGAGCGUCAUCCUCUAAUACGUUCGAGCGAUGCGUAAAUGAAAUUUCUGAAACUUGCGAAACUGUUUGGAACGCGGCGCGUUUACUCGCGGCAAACUCUUCCGCCCGAAGUUUGUUCGGGAUGUCGCGCGAAAGGGGGCCAACUUGUACGCGACCGAAGAUUUCAUUUUGAUUACGCCGGUUUACGAAAACUCGUUUGCGCCGUGUUUCAAGCGCCACACCUCGGCAACAAAACGAAUCAAGAUAAUGCCCGCGUUAUUGUAAUAACGUCGCUCCUUUCCGUGAACCAAAACACGCCGAUAUUUAAUUUUAAAGCGGUCGCCUAUUUAGGUCAAUGCGAUGCAAAACUAUUUUCAGCCAGCUUUUCUACAAGGAAGACGAAGCAUUCUCGUGAAAUUUGUUCCAUUUGGACAAUUAUAAUAAAGGGAUCAUUAAAGAAUGAUAUCGAAGUGUAGUUUCACAUUUCGAUUGAUCGCUUGACAUGAGACACACGAAAAUUUUUAUCGAUAAUAACUAUUCGAUGUUGUUGAUCGUUUCGUACGUAAAUUAGAAUUUUUCUGCUCAAAAAAAAAAAGAUAUAUAAAGUAUUAAUAUACACUUAUUUAUCGUCCUGUAAGUAUUUUAAAAUUGCAUUAGAUGAAACGAAACAAUCAAAAUAAGAUGAAUCUAUCUUCCAAAACAAAUUCAAACUAUUUACUUAAUUUAAAAUCACUCCUUUCACGAAAAUACUUCAUCGAACCAUGAAUAAUACAGCGUUCAAAAUAACAGUAACUAUUAAAAGUAUCCAUUCGAAGAAAGAUUAGAGAAUUGAAAUUUAUUUUCUUUCCAUUUACCAUUGACGAUAUGGACGUGCACGCUGCUCGAGUGGGUGUUGCUCGGCGAGCAUGUGUACAGGCCGGCGUCUCUCUCGAUCGCCUUCUGGAUUAGUAAACGGCUGGAAGUCACGGGUCCCUUCUCCGUGACCAAGCUGAUCCCGCCCCUCGGCGAGUCGAAGUUAAUCGCCUGCGAAAGAAGAAAAGAAGACAGACAGAGCGCGCCUAGCAUUACCUCGUGGCUGCAACCGAAUAGAGCCACUCCAGACGAGGGGGACGACAAGUGUCUUCUCAGAGUGGCGAGAUCCAUUCCAACGGAACAAAUGCCUUUAAAACACGUUCCCGUACUGAAGAUCCUACCGCUACUAUUCCCCUUUCGUGUUUUUAAGUAAACGGGCGCGGUCGAUAACAAUGCAACUAAAUGGACCGAUGUUUUAUUUUAUUCUUCGUUUCUAUUACGUAGACGAUUUCUUUUUUUUUUUUAUGAAUUUAAUUCAGCCUUGAGGCUUAUUUGUUCAUCGUGCUAGUUUUAGGUAAAUAUUAUUGGUUCAAUCGAGACAAGUAAUGUUCUAAGUAAUGUUUUGUUUUAUUUUUCAUCCAAAUAAUAUAGAUAAAUGAUCUAUUAUUGAUUUGAUCAAGAGUUCCGAGUCUUUUAAAUCUUGGAGAACAGUCAGAUUUUGUAACUUUUGAAUUUUUUUCUUUUUGACGAAUACGUUGCUUUCAUCUGACACGUUUUGAGGUUUGUUUGUUGUUCGCAUGCAACAAUGUCGCGAUAAUAAAUAAAUGAUUCGUUAUUGGUUGGACAUUCCGAGUUUUUUUAAGUCGAACAUUCUAUUGUCACUAUAUGUUGCGUGUAGUUUUAGUUGGAUCAUUUAUAAUUUGUCGAAUAAUUGAGAAUUUUGAAAAAUUCUGACUUCCCUUUCCAACUCAUCGAACGCUUAUAUAUACAAAGAAAAAAAAAAAGAUUUACUCGCAGUACACCUCAUCUUAAUGAUCGAGAUAAAAUAACUAAUUAAAAUAAAAACGAGAUACAAACCGGAAAAGACGUAAAACAAGAAAAAAAACAACUCGUUCACGAUAUGUUCCAGCCGUGCCGCUUCUUCAAUUGUUCGUAAUAAACGAAGACGAGAAGAAGAGGGUUUGGUUACAAUAGGGUUUCUCCGAUAGAUGAUAAAUCAUCAUGGUUGACGAAGGGCCAUCCUCGGCCCUCAAUCAAUACCAGAUUUAUCCGAGUCGUGAAUAAUUUACGUUCCAGCUAUCUUUAUUUACGCGCCUGCCCUCCACGCAUCGUUGUCCAGGAACAAUCGCGAGCUUGUUAGCCGACUUCAUAAAUAACUCGGCUCGUAGGAACGCUUUCGACUGGUGCACACCGGUAAUCGAUAUCAUAGGAUAACAAUGGAUAGCCACGUGUGUGUGUAUGUACAAUACAUGCGUACAAAUACGUGUGUACCAGCGAUCCUUUUUAAAAGGAAAGAAAAACGAAAAUAUCGAUUAUUAGAAAGUGGCGAUUAUUAUUGUUAUUCUGCUCUUGUUCUUUAAUAAAAAUUUUAAUGAAAUGAA
Apis cerana (Asiatic honeybee) is the source of this 3986-nucleotide long non-coding RNA. RefSeq lists it as uncharacterized. The record is from RefSeq and is a predicted model, not a curated record. NCBI's taxonomy places the organism in Eukaryota, Metazoa, Arthropoda, Insecta, Hymenoptera, Apidae.